Molecule: ribosomal RNA, 395 nt
Filed under: uncultured bacterium
Lineage: Bacteria
Description: partial 16S ribosomal RNA
Rfam family: Bacterial small subunit ribosomal RNA
Source: RNAcentral
CCUACGGGUGGCAGCAGUGAGGAAUCUUGGUCAAUGGGCGCGAGCCUGAACCAGCAAAGUAGCGUGAAGGAUGAAUGCCCUACGGGUUGUAAACUUUUUUUUUAACGGAAUAAAGUGAGGCACGGGUACCUUUUUGUCUGUAACUUUUGAUUAAGGAUAGGCUAACUCCGUGCAAGCGGCAGCGGUAAUACGGAGGCGUCGAGCGUUAUCCGGAUUCAUUGGGUUUAAAGGGAGCGUAGAUGGGUUGUUAAGUCAGUUGUGAAUGUUUGCGGCUCAACCGUAAACUUGCAAUUGAUACUGGCUGACUUGAGUGCAGUUGAGGUAGGCGGAAUUCGUGGUGUAGCGGUGAAAUGCUUAGAUAUCACGAAGAACUCCGGUGGCGAAGGCAGCUUACU